AAGUCGUAACAAGGUCUCCGUAGGUGAACCUGCGGAGGGAUCAUUAAAGAGUGAAGGCGAAAGCCGACCUCCAACCCUUUGAAUUCUAAACCUGUGUUGCCUCGGGGUUUUUCGAAUAAUUACCUCUCUUUAGGGAGAGUGUUCCCCCGGUGGACUCAUCAAACUCAGUUUAUUACCUAAUGUCAGAGUGAAAUUGAUUAAGAAAUCAUAACAAAACUUUCAACAACGGAUCUCUUGGUUCUG
This 243-nucleotide unclassified non-coding RNA is filed under the name fungal sp. RNAcentral describes it as "partial internal transcribed spacer region". The stretch from base 1 to 46 matches the Rfam family "Eukaryotic small subunit ribosomal RNA", at positions 1786 to 1831 of the family's 1831-position model. The record is from RNAcentral. Lineage: Eukaryota; Fungi.